CUGACAGUAUUAAGAGUUCUUAAUUCGGGUCCAUUCGUAAAGGGAGGGACCUCAAAGGCUGAAUGUUUGAGAAAAAUAAAGGUGAAGAGGAAGGUGAGACCGUGGGAGGUAAAGCAAAAACAGUAAUUUCUACACAAAACAUAGAAGGACAUAAAAGACCCAGGGGACUCCUCGUUUCGUCCCUUCCCUCGCGCACGUUCAUACCCUCCUAACUAACCGCUAGUUAGUUCUCCAACGUCCCUUGGAGCCCGUUAGAAACGAAUGUUUGAUAAAGCAGGCUUUCCUUGCAAGCAAGACUUAUUCCUUCACAGUAUUCCCGAAUUUAUAUUCCCUGCGUUAAACUCCAUCAGCUAGACAACUACAAGAAAACCAUGACUCAAAGCAAGUGUCUAAAAUGUUUUAAAUGAGUUUAUCUUUUGGAAAACAUGCUCAUGGAAACUGCCUGGUGCUCACAACCGCAGUUUUAGCACAAAUGGAUUCUCUUCAUUCACUGGUAUUUCUUGUAAAUCCAGAAGAAGGCUUUAAUAUUCUGACAGCAACACAGUGCUGAAAGCAGGCAAAUUUUUGAAUUCCACACAGCACUGAACCAAAGGCAAGGUCUACUGCAGUAAAAAAAACAAAAACAAAAACAAAACAACCAACCAAAAGGAAAAAAAAAAAAAGCUGUUUAAACACACACAAUGGAUUAAUGGAUUAGGCAAGCCACACACAAUGUGGUGUUCACAUGGCUGCUCCUCUGGCCCAACCUUCAAAUGGUCUCACCCUGAAGCCAUCCAUCUCUUUAUUAAGCUAUGUUCCUCUAAUUAAACUGAAUUUAGCUCCCACAGUUUCCUAAUUAUGACAACUGAGAACCAUGAGGUAUAUACAAGAAAAUAUAUAAGGAUCAUGAAACAAUAAAAACUAGCAAGGUAAGGAUGAUUCAGGUGAGGUAUGUCACUCCACUGACCAUGGGUUCAUUUAGCAUAGUCAUCUGACUGACCAGAUUUAGAAAUGCACCUUCUAGAAGCUGCCCAUUGGACAGAAAAGGAUAAUCUUCCUGUAAAAUAAUAGUAAUAGUUUUUUUUUAAGUUAAUGUGAACAAAUGAAUACUGGCCAAAAAAAACU
Microcebus murinus (gray mouse lemur) is the source of this 1104-nucleotide non-coding RNA. The record is from RefSeq and is a predicted model, not a curated record. Lineage: Eukaryota; Metazoa; Chordata; Mammalia; Primates; Cheirogaleidae.